This is a long non-coding RNA of Centropristis striata (black sea bass), 754 nucleotides long. RefSeq lists it as uncharacterized. The transcript has 4 exons. The record is from RefSeq and is a predicted model, not a curated record. Lineage: Eukaryota; Metazoa; Chordata; Actinopteri; Perciformes; Serranidae.
UUAGCAAGCUGGUAGCAAGAGAUGCUCUUCCUCCCGCAUUUGUCUGUAGCCCUUUGUAGUGGCAAUAUGAUAUCUCUAUAUGUCCCUGAUCCAAAGGCAAGCCCCUUAUAUCGUCCACCCUGCUGAGCAGGUUAUGGGCUUUCAACUGACCUCCAUCAAAUAAGUGCAUGACCCCAGAAUGAAGACAGAGGGAAGGAUGGAUCACUGCUCAAUCUCUUUUAAAAACCGCUGAGGCAGAAACUAGUAGUCUAUUAAGCCAUCUCUCGAGUGGAACUCACAGCCCUGAUAUUUGUGAUCCGGCUACAAGACCUUCGUCUGUCAAGCUCUGAGCAGCUUCAUGGGAGAACACAGGUGAGAUGCUUGCCGUGUGUGUAGGUGAAAGGCUUUGGUCCUGUGGCACCAUUGUGACACAAUGAAGACCGUAAAGCAUUUAACAUGUCUGCUGGCCCCUUUGGCCUCGGAUUGGAAUUCGACACACCCACACUGAUCUGUGGCCCUCAGCAUAUAAGGUGGCUGGAGCGGAGUCAUCAGUCAUGUGGCUGGUGAUCACAGCUCUUUAUGAAGAUGGAUCCCAGUCGAUUUGCCAUCUUCACACAACUGCUUCUUUCAUGUAUCAAUUUCUGAAAGAAGGUAGUGCAUAAAACAUUUCCCCCCACUUUAUUUACAUGUGAAUACUGUAUUUAUAUGUGAAGUUUUAGCUCGGUGUGCAUGGCGUUCCACAGGUUCAACAGCUGGCCAGUGAACAUCACUCAAC